RNAcentral lists this long non-coding RNA (380 nucleotides) under Anser brachyrhynchus (Pink-footed goose). RNAcentral's name for it is "lncRNA (ENSABRG00000003177.1)". Lineage: Eukaryota; Metazoa; Chordata; Aves; Anseriformes; Anatidae. The record is from RNAcentral.
CCUCACCUGCAGAUGUUAUCAAAAAGGUCAUUUAAUUCAUUUUUUCACUGCUAAGCUUGUUUGAAUGUGCUGCAUCUGAAUUACUUUUUUUUUUUUUUUUUUUUUAAUGAGCUUAUCUUGAUUGAAGCUGUAUAUUAUUAAGCAGUAGUUGCAUGUAAGUUGUCAGGACUGGCCGAGUACUUGGUGUGUGUGUGUGAUAGUAGGCCAUAUAAGACCCACGGGAUAUUCAGGCUGUUAUGCUACGUGAACAAGACCGGCCUACUUUAGAGGAAGCUAGCUUUGAGCCAUGUGGACAUAAGGCACUCUGCAUGACUUUGCUUUCAGGCCAUGGAUUGCUCUCUGGGAUAUAAAUGGAAAUAGGGAUGGGACAAUAAAAGGAU